AUUCUAAUAGAAUACUAAUAAUACUCUAAUUAGACCAUAAUAAUGCUAAGCAAGUUUAAUCAAAUUCAAAAAAAUCUCAAAGAAAUUUCAAACAAACAAUAAGAAUUCUUAAAGAAAUAUUAGAAGGAUCACAAAUGUCACUCAAAUACAUCUCAAUUCAAUUUUAAUUUAAUUCUAGUUAAAAUCCUAUUGAACUUCAUUCAAACUUUAGGCCAAAAUUAAUUAAAUCUUAAACUCUAAACAAAUCCUAAUAUAAUCCUAAUCCAAACCCUAAUCAUAUCCUAAAUCCAAAUCCUAAAUCCUAAACAAAUCCUAAUCAAAUCCUAAAUCCAAAUCCUAAAUCCUAAACCAAAUCCUAAUCAAAUCCUAAAUCCUAAAUCAAACCCUAAUCAAAUCUUAAAUCCUAAAUCAAAUCCUAAAUAAAUCCUAACCAAACUCUAAUCCAAACCCUAAAUCCUAAACCAAAUCCUAAAUAAAAUCCUAAAAAAAUCCUAAA
This 496-nucleotide long non-coding RNA is filed under the name Physcomitrium patens. Its description in RNAcentral is "long non-coding RNA (PPAT_LNC007554)". The record is from RNAcentral. Lineage: Eukaryota; Viridiplantae; Streptophyta; Bryopsida; Funariales; Funariaceae.